RNAcentral lists this long non-coding RNA (451 nucleotides) under Rhinopithecus bieti (black snub-nosed monkey). RNAcentral describes it as "lncRNA (ENSRBIG00000045827.1)". Lineage: Eukaryota; Metazoa; Chordata; Mammalia; Primates; Cercopithecidae. The record is from RNAcentral.
GCCACUACCAUGAAAGAAAGUGACACAUCAUCUAACUCUACCACUUUCAAUAUUCUUCUGAAUCCACCAAGAAAAGGUCUCCAGGUUACAGAAAACAUGCCUAAAUCUGUGAUCCUGUGGAAUAUCGUUCAAUAAAGAGCUGCCAGUGCCUUCCCUGUGAGCAGUGAAGCAAAGAAAAGCAAUGAGGUAAGGAAUCUUUCCACGGAUACUAUAUAAGAUGCGUUUGAAUUUGAAGAAUGGAUUAACUUGUGGCAUUGCAGAGACCUGGCCCACAGGAUCCACACUUUAGUAUCUGUGUCAAGGAAGAAUGUGUAAUAGAGUAGACUGACACAGACUCAAGUUGUUCUGCUAAGGAUUAAAUACCUGGAUCUGACUGUUACUAACAAGGUGCCCUCAAUAAAGUUGCCUACUCAUUUUGAGACCAUUACUGGUCUACACCUGCCAAAAUAAA